GGGCCCGCACAAGCGGUGGAGUAUGUGGUUUAAUUCGAUGCAACGCGAAGAACCUUACCAGGGUUUGACAUCCUGCGAAUCUCUUGGAAACAGGAGAGUGCCUUCGGGAACGCAGUGACAGGUGGUGCAUGGCUGUCGUCAGCUCGUGUCGUGAGAUGUUGGGUUAAGUCCCGCAACGAGCGCAACCCACGUCUUUAGUUGCCAGCAGUUCGGCUGGGCACUCUAGAGAAACUGCCUGGGAUGACCAGGAGGAAGGCGAGGAUGACGUCAAGUCCUCAUGGCCCUUAUGGGCUGGGCUACACACGUGCUACAAUGGCGGUUACAAUGGGAUGCAAAAGGGUGACCUUGAGCUAAUCCCCAAAGGCCGUCUCAGUUCGGAUUGUUCUCUGCAACUCGAGAACAUGAAGUCGGAAUCGCUAGUAAUCG
RNAcentral lists this ribosomal RNA (426 nucleotides) under uncultured bacterium. Its description in RNAcentral is "bacterial SSU rRNA". It matches the Rfam family "Bacterial small subunit ribosomal RNA", at positions 917 to 1344 of the family's 1533-position model. The record is from RNAcentral.